CCCUUUGAUGUUCUGGGCCGCACGCGCGCUACACUGUUCGACGCAGCGAGUCUUAACCUUGACCGAAAGGUUUGGGUAAUCUUCAGCAAAGUCGAACGUGAUGGGGAUCGAUCAUUGCAAUUAUUGAUCGUGAACGAGGAAUUCCUAGUAAGUGCAAGUCAUCAGCUUGCGCUGAUUACGUCCCUGCCCUUUGUACACACCGCCCGUCGCUACUACCGAUUGAAUGGUUUAGUGAGAUCUCUGGAUUGACGCUGGCUAGGGGGCGACCCUUGGCCAGACUGUUGAGAAACUGCUCAAACUUGAUCAUUUAGAGGAAGUAAAAGUCGUAACA
RNAcentral lists this ribosomal RNA (331 nucleotides) under uncultured eukaryote. RNAcentral's name for it is "partial 18S ribosomal RNA". It matches the Rfam family "Eukaryotic small subunit ribosomal RNA", at positions 1470 to 1796 of the family's 1831-position model. The record is from RNAcentral.